RNAcentral lists this ribosomal RNA (253 nucleotides) under uncultured bacterium. RNAcentral's name for it is "partial 16S ribosomal RNA". It matches the Rfam family "Bacterial small subunit ribosomal RNA", at positions 524 to 776 of the family's 1533-position model. The record is from RNAcentral.
UACGUAGGGGGCGAGCGUUGUCCGGAGUUACUGGGCGUAAAGCGCACGCAGGCGGUCUGCUAAGUUUGGAGUGACAGUUGGUGGCUUAACUGCCAAAGUGCUUCGAAAACUGACAGACUUGAGGGCUUCAGAGGGACACGGAAUUCCGGGUGGAGUGGUGAAAUGCGUAGAGAUCCGGAGGAACACCAAAGGCGAAGGCAGUGUCCUGGCUGGCAUCUGACGCUGAGGCGCGAAAGCUAGGGGAGCGAACAGG